GGGAUGCUUUACACAUGCAAGUCGAACGGCAGCAUAGAGAGCUUGCUCUCUGAUGGCGAGUGGCGAACGGGUGAGUAAUAUAUCGGAACGUGCCCAGUAAUGGGGAAUAACUAGCCGAAAGGUUAGCUAAUACCGCAUACGACCUACGGGUGAAAGCAGGGGAUCUUAGGACCUUGCGUUAUUGGAGCGGCCGAUAUCUGAUUAGCUUGUUGGUGGGGUAAAAGCCUACCAAGGCAACGAUCAGUAGCUGGUCUGAGAGGACGAUCAGCCACACUGGAACUGAGACACGGUCCAGACUCCUACGGGAGGCAGCAGUGGGGAAUUUUGGACAAUGGGGGAAACCCUGAUCCAGCCAUCCCGCGUGAGUGAAGAAGGCCUUCGGGUUGUAAAGCUCUUUCGAAAGUGAAGAAAACUUAUUUCGUAAUAUGUUAUAAGUAUGACGGUAACUUUAGAAGAAGCACCGGCUAACUACGUGCCAGCAGCCGCGGUAAUACGUAUGGUGCGAGCGUUAAUCGGAAUUACUGGGCGUAAAGCGUGCGCAGGCGGUUUUGUAAGUCAGAUGUGAAAUCCCCGAGCUUAACUUGGGAACUGCGUUUGAAACUACAAGACUAGAGUGUGUCAGA
RNAcentral lists this ribosomal RNA (623 nucleotides) under uncultured beta proteobacterium. Its description in RNAcentral is "bacterial SSU rRNA". It matches the Rfam family "Bacterial small subunit ribosomal RNA", at positions 41 to 655 of the family's 1533-position model. The record is from RNAcentral. Lineage: Bacteria; Pseudomonadati; Pseudomonadota; Betaproteobacteria.